AAAAUAAAAUAAGUGAAAGAAAAUAUGAAAUGAAAAUGAAAAGAAAAUAAGUUAAAAUGAAGAAUAUAUGAAAAUAAAAGGGGAAAAAAGAAAGAAAAGAAAAACAUAUAGGGGCACUGGGGGUUGAACCCCUGACCUUGGGGUCAUGAGUCAACCCCUAUUUAACUGGGCCAAGCUCCUCUUAGUGAAAGUGAAUGCGCUUCAGAGAAAUAAAUAAAAU
RNAcentral lists this long non-coding RNA (220 nucleotides) under Lathyrus oleraceus (garden pea). Its description in RNAcentral is "Pisum sativum (pea) long non-coding RNA (PSAT_LNC040617)". The record is from RNAcentral. Lineage: Eukaryota; Viridiplantae; Streptophyta; Magnoliopsida; Fabales; Fabaceae.